GAUGAACGCUGGCGGCGUGCCUAAUACAUGCAAGUCGAGCGAACGGACGAGAAGCUUGCUUCUCUGAUGUUAGCGGCGGACGGGUGAGUAACACGUGGAUAACCUACCUAUAAGACUGGGAUAACUUCGGGAAACCGGAGCUAAUACCGGAUAAUAUUUUGAACCGCAUGGUUCAAAAGUGAAAGACGGUCUUGCUGUCACUUAUAGAUGGAUCCGCGCUGCAUUAGCUAGUUGGUAAGGUAACGGCUUACCAAGGCAACGAUGCAUAGCCGACCUGAGAGGGUGAUCGGGCACACUGGAACUGAGACACGGUCCAGACUCCUACGGGAGGCAGCAGUAGGGAAUCUUCCGCAAAGGGCGAAAGCCUGACGGAGCAACGCCGCGUGAGUGAUGAAGGUCUUCGGAUCGUAAAACUCUGUUAUUAGGGAAGAACAUAUGUGUAAGUAACUGUGCACAUCUUGACGGUACCUAAUCAGAAAGCCACGGCUAACUACGUG
Molecule: ribosomal RNA, 497 nt
Filed under: uncultured bacterium
Lineage: Bacteria
Description: partial 16S ribosomal RNA
Rfam family: Bacterial small subunit ribosomal RNA
Source: RNAcentral